Molecule: microRNA precursor, 78 nt
Filed under: Schistosoma mattheei
Lineage: Eukaryota; Metazoa; Platyhelminthes; Trematoda; Strigeidida; Schistosomatidae
Description: mir-3492 microRNA precursor family
Rfam family: mir-3492 microRNA precursor family
Source: Rfam by way of RNAcentral
AACUUUUCGAAUCCGUGCUGAGAUUUUGUCAGACAUUGACCCAUUAAGGCCGAUCAGAAUUCCAAGAUAAGUGAAGUU